This 497-nucleotide ribosomal RNA is filed under the name uncultured bacterium. RNAcentral describes it as "partial 16S ribosomal RNA". It matches the Rfam family "Bacterial small subunit ribosomal RNA", at positions 28 to 507 of the family's 1533-position model. The record is from RNAcentral.
GAUGAACGCUGGCGGCGUGCCUAAUACAUGCAAGUCGAGCGAACAGACGAGGAGCUUGCUCCUCUGACGUUAGCGGCGGACGGGUGAGUAACACGUGGAUAACCUACCUAUAAGACUGGGAUAACUUCGGGAAACCGGAGCUAAUACCGGAUAAUAUAUUGAACCGCAUGGUUCAAUAGUGAAAGACGGUUUUGCUGUCACUUAUAGAUGGAUCCGCGCUGCAUUAGCUAGUUGGUAAGGUAACGGCUUACCAAGGCGACGAUGCAUAGCCGACCUGAGAGGGUGAUCGGCCACACUGGAACUGAGACACGGUCAAGACUCCUACGGGAGGCAGCAGUAGGGAAUCUUCCGCAAUGGGCGAAAGCCUGACGGAGCAACGCCGCGUGAGUGAUGAAGGUCUUCGGAUCGUAAAACUCUGUUAUUAGGGAAGAACAAAUGUGUAAGUAACUAUGCACGUCUUGACGGUACCUAAUCAGAAAGCCACGGCUAACUACGUG